Molecule: long non-coding RNA, 4866 nt
Filed under: Carassius auratus (goldfish)
Lineage: Eukaryota; Metazoa; Chordata; Actinopteri; Cypriniformes; Cyprinidae
Description: lncRNA (ENSCARG00000000218.1)
Source: RNAcentral
UUUUAAUUAAAUUCAGCAUCUUGUAUAUUGUGUAUUAUAUGUCAUAUUGUGUAUUGUAUUUGAUACGGUGUAUUGUAUUGUGUUCUAACAGAUUUCCCCACAAGUCCUCAUUCUCAGUGUCUGGUGUCUCUAUCUCAGUGUGACAUGAAGACACAUAUAACACACAGCAGUCUGUCAUCCUCCGCUGCGUUCAGACGUCUGCUCAAACAGACUCAGACGAGUAAACCGUGUGUUGACCUGCUGACCUGAUGACUAACCCCAGACACAGACUCUGCAGCUGAAAAGACGUAAAGGCAGUCAGCCCAGUGGUGUUUCUGGAAAGGGAUUCCUUCAGAAAUGGAGAAGACAGAAAGCUGCGGAGGCAGAUAUUUGCAGCAGUCUAAAAUAUCAAGCUCAACAGCUCACUCAAGAGCCAACCCUCACAAACCUUCCUAAAACCUAAAAGAGUUAUUACUGAGUCUCAGCGAAUCUUGCCAUGAUCAGCUCUUCCCAGGUACAUUUGUUUAGAAUAUUUUUUAAUCAACAUUUACUCAUCAAAUGCUCUGGUCUGAAUCUUACUUUAAAUUAACUUAAUUAUGUUUAAUGAGCAAUAUUAAUUGCUCAGAGAGUAAGUAGAGAUUUUCUUGUUUCACAGAAGAGAAGGAAGACCAAGGAAAUGAUUUGCUCAGGAUGAGAAAUGAAGACGGCCAUCUUGAGCUCAAACAAACAGAAGUCCUCUGAUGAUCUCAUCAGCCAAAUGAGGGGUUUUGACCAAAUGAUGCUCUUGAAAGGAGUGAAAGAAGAAGAUGUGCUAAAUUCUCUUCAGAGAAAAAGCUUCUCAAAAGGUCUCAAACCAGCUUGAAGAAUGGUCUGGGAUCUUAGGACUGAGAGAUCCUCUGGCUGAGGACAAGCUACACCACAUCAGUGCUGGAUAUCAACCACAAACUGUUUCCAGACACGAGAGAAGAAGAUCACGAUGGGGAGAUGAAACCAGUUUAGAUGUGAUGAUGGGAAUCAUUAUUUUCUGGAACAGUAUCACAUGUCUUAUAUGUAUCACAUGAUCUGUAUCACAGUUGACUGGAUGGGACUGUGUGACUUUUAAGGACAUUUCAUCACUCAUCUGUGUGAACUGAUUUAUAUAUGAGGUUAAUGUAUCUUUGAUGAUAAUUAUUUUCAUUGAAUCUUAUUUGUCUUGAUGCUACUUUAUCAACUUUAUAGUCUAUGCUUCAAUAAAAUGAAAAUGGUGAAUAUUGUGUUCUGAAGAUUCUUGGUAAAUACAUCAUUUUACUAGGUAGGCUCAUAUGUGUUUAUUUUAGACUUGGAAAAACGACAUAUUAAUUAUUGGGAUUAUUUUUUUAUUUAAGACAUGAACAUUUUUGAUCGGAUUAAUAACAUCUGGGACAUCAGUACACCAGAAAGUAUUUUUUUAUAUUUUAGUAACAAAUAUGCACAUUUUUUGUGAAAUAAAGGGAGUUACGAGAUUAACUAUUCUGCAUUACAAGAUGGUGCCAUGGGCUUUAUAGUUACAAACACUUGAGGGAUAACUGAGAAUGUAGCAGGAAUGAUCAACGUGGAUCUUGUACUGCAUUAAAACCAAGAGCAGGCACAUUACUGAUGUCCAGCACCUGAGGAGCAAGAUACGGGGGUGAGGAGGACAUUUUUACACUGAUUUCGGCUAAUUAGUUAUAUAUAAUGCUAAUAUAUAUAUAUAUAUAUAUAUAUAUAAAUUAAUAUUCUUAGCACUGCAUGAAUUUGUCCUUGUGUAAUAGUGAAGUAUCACAAUGUGUAUACAUUGUCCUUGAUUACUGCUUUACAGUGGGGAAUAGAUAAUGGCAAGUUGUUGCAGGUUCAUCCAUUAUAUUUCUUGCCAUUUACUUCAAAAAUCAAAGAAAUAAUCUAUUAUUUUCAUUAUUAAAUCAUUUCUUUCUAAUUUUUCCAUGUUUCAUCAGAUGGCCUCACAAUGUCCUGUCAAAAGGUAUAAUAGUCAUGAUGAAUAGAAUAGAAAACAGAGGACUGUGAAAACUGUCAGAUAUAAAUGUGACUCAGCUCAGUAUGUUGUUCAUGAUGAGGAGAAUACAUAUAUGUAGGUUUUACUGCCCUGCUACCCCCAGGGGCCCAGUAGCACCCCCGGAAGAGCCCAAAACUGUACAUUUCAAAUGGCUGUAAAUCAGAGUGCAAUUAACAUAUCAAAGAGAAAAUGGGCAGGAUUAUUACUUAUGCUAUGCUGAUAAAAUAAUGUUGAGCUCAGUUUUCAGAAAUAAGUGGAAAGCUGGCAUAAAAGCAUUUUAAAUAUUGCUCACUGUAAAAUACCACAUUUCAGCCUGCCUCUCAAAUAUAUCACAGAUGUUUGCACAAUAAACAUAUUUAGAUAUCCAGUUUACCUUAAAAUAAAUAAUUUAUUUAGUUUCGUUAAUAAAAAGUUUUAAACUACAUUACCCACAAGCCUCCGUCGUUCUAUCUAUGCAAAGGCAACACUAGGGGGCUGUUUUUUGUAGUUCAUUGAAGUUAUGCUUAGGGUUAGGAUUAGGAUCUCGCUAGAGAUGUCAUUUUUCUCAAGAUAGCAACACUUCAUUGUUGACUUAAUAUAUUACUAAUGUGAUGAUAGGAGCAAAACAUACUUUUUAACAUGAUGCGCUGUUUAAUAUGGGUUAAAAGAUAGUCCAACCACAGACUGUCCUGAAAAGUCAUAGCCAAUGACAUCUAAGCUGAGCAGCAGCGUCACACUUCCUUAUCCAUGUAUGACAGAUGUCUUUCGUUUUUCGGCUGAAGGGAUAGAUUCGGUUAACAAUAGAUUAAGCUUGCUACUUAUUAGAUUCUGUUUUAUUAACGUCUUCACCUUCCUCCGUUGUUCAGCUUGACAAACAUUGGGCAAUAUUGAUGUGCACAUGCCCAGCAGUCGCAGUUGUAUCCAACAGAUAGAUUCCUCUCAUUAAAUAUAAGACACAUUUUUAAGAUUUGUAUAUUUUUUUUUUUUGACCAAAGACAAAUAUAUUUACUAAUCAAAUGACGUGCUUCUAAAAUUUACAUUGUAUAUUACAUUGUGUUUUAAAGUUAAAAUUGUUCACAUUUGUGUUUCUGUGAUUUACCAUUCUCUACCAUUUGAACCCUAGGAAUAAAAACAGAAAUUAUAAAUUAAUGAAUGAAUGAAUGAACAAAUAAAUACAUAAAGCAUAAUAAACAUGCAUAUUUUUGUAAGGAUCUUCCAUCAUUUAUUGAUAUGUCAAACUCAUUUAAAGACAACAUGCCCAAAUUACUACACUGCAUCCUCUGUCACCAAGCUCGUUUUUGCCACCAUAAAGAAUAAAAAGGCAGUUAUGUUGUAAACAUUAACUAUUUUCAGUAUGCAAAUGAAAAUGCUUUUAUUAAAAAACAAAACAGUAAAUACAGUAUGUCUUUCAGAGAACACUGGAAAAAGAUCAAUUUUAUUAAAAAAAUUAAAUUGACCAAAAUGUUAUACAACACAAUGUAAAUGUUUCAAACUCACAAAAAAAACACCAUGAAGACAUGCAUGUCAAGUGUGCAAUAUCAUCUAUAAAAUUCAAUCAGCACAGCAUCAAAUAAACACUGAUUGUCUGAACAAUGGAAGACAGAGAAAGUGUUCAGGAAAACAAACACCUGCUAGCUUUGACAAUAACAUCAUGAAUUCACUUCAUGACUGGAGCUAGGGGAUGACUGUGUAUGAAUAUCUCCUUUACUAAAACUCUUAAUUAAAGUCUAAAAAGUUCACUGUAUGAAGCUUGAAAAAGAGAACAAAAUGCUUUAUCAAUACGAAAAAUACUAUUUUUAACUAUUGUUUUCAUCACUGGUUCUGUAAUGUAUUCAUUAUGAGCUUAUAAAUAAAACAAAGUUACAUCUUCUGCAAAAAUCUAACCACUGCAAAGUCUAAUCACUGAUCCAGGGACCAUAUCUGUGUGUGUGGGGGAUAAAGAGUUAACGAGGUGAGUCCUUGUGCAUGAUGGAGAACUGCAGUGUUAUCCUCAAACAAUCCUGUAAAACAGAAAUAUUACAUUACAUUCAACUUAUACAUUACACUGUGUUUUGUUUAGACCAUAAAAGCAGCCUCUGUAAAGAUGCUGUAAAAUUAAAUGUUAAAUGAAUCCAUUAUUGAAAGCAAGUAAUUAAUAACAAGCUAUAGUCAUAUGAAUUAUUUUGAUAGUGUCAGAUGAGACCGUCCUGGGGCUUGUACAAUAUCAUACAAGUGUUAAACUGGAUUAUUAAGACUGUGAUGUGUUUAGUACAGUAUGUGAAAUAUUGAUAAUUAGAUAUUAAAAAUCUCUUUAAACACAUAAGUGUCCCAUAAGGCAGUGGCUCCCAAUCCUGGUCCUGGAGAACCCCAACACUGCACAUUUGAGAUGUCUCCCUGAUCAAACACACCUGAUUCAACUCAUCAGCUCAUCAGUGAAGACUCCAAGGCAGAUAAGAGAGACGCCAAAACCGUGCAGUGCUGGGGUUCUCCAGGAUCAGGAUUGGGAAACACAGUCAUCAGGUCAUGAAAAGUUUGACACACACUUGUGGUCAUCAUGCUCACUUGAACACUAGGCCAAAUACAGGAAAGACUUCAAAUAAGUAAUCAAGUGGUCAAGUGGAAAGAUGGCAAGUGUGGGUAUUUGGACAGUGCAACAGUUUAAGAAACAACAAAUGCUGUACAAAUUAUAACAGCAGGAAUUUUUGAUAAAAGAGACAAACUAUCACAGACUUACUGCUGCAAAUAUCUGCCUCCGCAGCUUUCUGUCUUCUCCAUUUCUGAAGGAAUCCCUCUCCAGAAACACCACUGGGCUGACUGCCUUUACGUCUUUUCAGCUAAAAAUAUAAAUAAUAAAAAAGGGGAGAGAAAAUAAAAUUGAAUUAUAUACAGAAUGUUAUAUAUAUAUAUAUGAAAAUAAAUAU